Long non-coding RNA from Orcinus orca (killer whale), 6905 nucleotides. RefSeq lists it as uncharacterized. NCBI's taxonomy places the organism in Eukaryota, Metazoa, Chordata, Mammalia, Artiodactyla, Delphinidae. The record is from RefSeq and is a predicted model, not a curated record. The transcript is spliced from 3 exons.
GCCACACCUGUGCACAGCAGGUGUUACAGCUCUUCCUGGGUUUCAGAUAACCCUCCUUCCGCCACUCCAGAAGAACUCGGAACUGCAACCCUUCAGACUCCCGCUUCCACCAGCAAACUUCGGGUCUUUUUAAAGAGCACAAGCUCCAGACGCGCAGGCUCAGCAGCCAUGGCUCACAGGCCCAGCCGCUCCGUGGCAUGUGGGAUCCUCCCAGACCGAGGCACGAACCCGUGUCCCCUGCAUCGGCAGGCAGACUCUCAACCACUGCGCCACCAGGGAAGCCCAUCCUGCUUCUUAAGUAUGCGGACCUCUCACUGUUGUGGCCUCUCCCAUUGUGGAGCACAGGCUCCGGACAUGCAGGCUCAGUGGCCAUGGCUCAUGUGCCCAGCUGCUCUGCGGCAUGUGGGAUCUUCCCGGACCGGGGCACGAACCCGUGUCCCCUGCAUCAGCAGGCGGACUCUCAACCACUGCGCCACCAGGGAAGCCCUCACAACUUUUAUUCAUACUGGUAUUGGAAAUUUUUGCUAGAGCAAUUAGGCAAGAAAGAGAAAUAAAAGGUAUCCAAAUCAGAAGGGAAGAAGUAAAAUUUCACUAUUUGCAGAUGACAUAUUAUUUAUAGAAAAUCCUAAAGACUCCACCAGAAAACUGUUUGAACUAAUUAAUGAAUUCAACAACGUUGCAGGAUACAAAAUCAGUAUCUGAAAAUUGUUGCAUUUUUCUAUGCUAACAAUAUUAGAAUGAGAAAUUAAGAAAACCAUCCAUUUACAACCGAAUCAGAAAAAUAAAAUGCCUAGGAAUAAAUUUAACCAGGUGGGUGAAAGACCUGUACCCUGAAAAAUAUAUGACAUUUAUGAAAGUAACUGAAAAAGGUACAGACAAAUUGAAAUAUAUUUUGUGCUCACGGAUUGGAAGAAGUAAAGUUGUUAAAAUACCUGUAUUACUGAAGCAAUCUCCAGAUUCAAUGCAAUCCUUAUCAAAAUUCCAAUGGCAUUUUUUUUUACAGAAAGAACAAAAAAAUUCUAAAAUUUGUAUGAGACCACAAAGGACCACAAAUAGCCAAAGCAAUCCUGAGAAAGAACAAAGCUGGAUGCAUCAUGCUCCCUGAUUUCAAACUAUAUUACAAAGCUAUAGUAAUCAAUAUAGUGUUGUAUUGGCAUAAAACAGACAUAUAGAUCAAUCGAACAAAAUAAGGAGCCCAGAAAUAAACCCAUGUAUAUAUGGUCAAAUAGAUCAUGACAAAGAAACCAAGAAUAUACAAUGGGAAAGAAUGGUCUCCUCAAUAAAUGGUGUAGGGAAAACUGUACAGCCACAUGCAAAAGAAUGAAAUGGACCACUACCUUACUCCAUACUAACUAACAAACAAACUACUAAGUACUAACUACAAAAUAAUACUACUAACAAACUAACUACUAACACAUAAAAACUCAAAUGGAUUAAAGAAUUGAAUGUAAGGCCUGAAAUCAUAACACUCCUAGAAGAGAAACCGUAAACAAAAUGAAAGGACAACCCAUGGAAUCGGAGAAAAUAUUUGCAAAUGAUGUGACUGACAAUGAAUUCAUUUCCAAAAUAUACAAACAAGUCAAACAGUUUAAUAUAUAUAAAAAAAAUCCAAUCAAAAAAUGGGCAGAAGACUCAAUAGACAUUUCUCCAAAGAAGACAUACAGAUAGCCAACAGGCACAUGAAAAGAUGCUCAACAUGGAUAAUUUUUAGAGAAAUGCAAAUCAAAACCACAAUGAGGUAUCAUCUCACGCCAAUCAGCAUGGACAUCAUCAAAAAGCCUACAAAUAAUAAACGCUGGAGAGGGUGUGGAAAAAAGGGAGCCCCCCCUUCACUGUUGGUAGGAAUGUAAAUUGGUGUAGCCACUAUGGAGAACAGUAUUGAGGUUCCUUAAAAAACUAAAACUCGAACUACCAUAUGAUCCUGCAAUCCCAUUCCUGGGCAUAUAUCCAGAAAAGACAAAAACUUCUAAGUCAAAACAAUAUAUGCAUUCCAAUGUUCAUAGCAACACUAUUUACAAUAGCCAAGACACGGAAGCAACCUAAAUGUCCAUUGACAGAUGAAUGGAUAAAGGAGAUGUUUGUGUAUAGACACACACACAUAUAUAUUUAUAUAAUAGAAUAUUAUUCAGCCAUAAAAAGAAUGAAAUAAUGCUAUUUGCAGCAACAUGGUGGACCUAUCAUACUAAGUAAAGUCAGAGGAAGAAAAAUAUAAUAUGAUAUCACUUAUAUGUGGAAUCUAAAAAACAUGAUACAAACGAACUUAUUUACAAAACAGAAAUAGACUCACAAACAUAGAAAACCAACUUAUGGUUACCAAAGGGGAAAGCAGGGGCAGUGAGGGGAGGGAUAAAUCAGGCAUUUGGGAUUAACAUAUACACACUACUACAUAUAAAAUAGAUAACCAACAAGGACAUACUGUAUAGCACAGGGAACUAUAUUCAAUAUUUUAUAAUAACCUAUAAUGGAAAUGAAAAAAGAAUACAUAUAUUCAUAUAUAUAUAUAUAUAUAUAUAUAUAUAUAUAUAUAACUGAAUAACUUUAAAAAGAAAACUCCUAGAAGAAAACAUAAGUGGUAAGCUCUUUGGCAUCAUUCUUGCCAAGUGGGACUAUAUCAAACUAAAAAACUUCUGCACUGUAUCAACUAAAUGAAAAGGCAAUCUAUUGAAUGGGAGGAAAUAUUUGCAAAUCAUAUGUCUCACAAGGGGCUAAAUUCCAAAAUAUUAAAAACUCAUACAACUCAAUAGCAAAAAAACUCCAAACAAUCUGAUUAAAAAAUGGGCAGAGGCUCUGGAUAGACAUUUUUCCAAAGAUGACAUACAGCUAACCAACUGGUACAUGAAAAGAUGCUCAACAUCACUAAUCAUCAGAGAAAUGUGAAUCAAAACCACUAUGAAAUAUUACCUCACACCUGUUAGAAUGACAUUAUCAGAAAGAAAUAAUUAUUGGCAAAGAUGUGGUAAAAUGGGACGUUUGUGCACUGUUAGUGGGAAUGUAAAUUGGUGCAGCCCCUGUGGAAAACAAUGUGAAGGUUCUUCAAAAAAAUUAAAACAUAACUACCAUAUAAUCCAGCAAUUCCACUUCUAGUCAUUUAUCUGAGGAAAAUGAUAAUGCUCUCUCAAAAACGAUAUAUGCACUCCCACAUUUUAAAAUACAUCUCUAUUAGAGUAUAAUUGCUUCGCAAUACUAUGUUGUACAACAAAGCAAAUCAGCCAUAUGCAUACAUAUAUCCCCAUAUCCCCUCCCUCUUGAUCCUCCCUUCCACCCUCCCUAUCCCACCCCUCUAGGUGGUCACAAAGCACCGAGCUGAUCUCCCUGUGCUAUGCGGCUGCUUCCCACUAGCUAUCUAUUUUACAUUUGGUAGUGUAUAUAUGUCAACACUACUCUCACUUUGCCCCAGCUUCCCCCUCCCCCCUGCAUCCUCAAGUCCAUUAUCUACGUCUACGUCAUGUAGCUCUCCACAUUUUUUACAGUAUUAUUUACAACAGCCGAGACAUGAAAGCAACCUUAGUGUCCAUUGAUGGAUGAAUAGAUUCAUUCAUAUAAAUUAAUAUAAAUAUAUAUAGUAUAUAUACACACUAUAUAUAUCAAAUACAUAAACACACAUAUAUACAACGGUGUUGUAUUCCACCAUAAAAAAUGAAAUCAUGAAUUUGUGGCCACAGGGGUGGACCUUGAGGGUAUUAUGCCAAGUGUAAUAAGUCAGACAGAGAAAGACAGAAACUGUAUGAUUGCACUUAUAUGUGUAGAAUCCAAAACAAUUGAAAACAAAUCUGAGCUUAUGGACACAGAGAACAGUUGUUGGUUACCAGAGGUGAGGGGUGGGAGGUGGGUAAAAUGCGUGAAACAGCAAAGGUACAAACUUUUAUUAUAAAAUAAAUUAUGAGGAUGUAAUAUACAGCAUGGUGACUAUAGUUAAUCAUACCCUAUUUUAUAUUUGAAAGUUGCUGAGAGAGUAGGUCAUAAAAGUUCUAAUCACAAGAAAAAGCACUAUGUCUAGUGGUAGAGGUUAACUAGUCUUAUUGUGGUGAUUAACUUGCAAUAUAUACAAAUAUUGAAUCAGUAUGUUGUACACCUGAAACGAAAAGAAUGUAUGUCAACUAUAUCCCAAAAAGUCAAUGUUAGCUAAUAUUUAUAUUAUUCUUUGCAGAUAUUAUUUCUUUUGCUUUUCAGGUACCUUUAUGAUCUUUUCUUUGUCUUGGUGUUCAAUUUCAUUAUGAUUUGUCUAGGUUUGGAUUUACUUCUAUUUAUCUUUUUAAAAGUUUGUUUUUCUUCCAUAUCCUAUGAAUUCAUAUCUUUACAUCUUUAUUUUUAUAAUUCUCAGCUAUAAUCUCUUCAAAUAUUGUCUCUUCCUCAUUCUCUAUUGUAUCUUUCUGACACCCCAAUUAUAUGACACUCCAAUUUUAAAGAUGUUAGAACUUAUCAUUAUAAAUUAAACGUCUUUUCAACUCUAAUAUUUUCUAAGCCCUCUCUUCUCUGAGCUAAUAAUUUUGUUUCUAGUUUCAUAAUUCUUUCUUCAGCUGUGCCUAAUCUGUUCUUUAUCCCCUGAGAUUAUAUUUUUAACUUUUUUUCCACUCCUAGGGGUUUGAUUUUUUUCAAAGCUUGUCUCCAUUUUUGUUGGUGAUUUAUUUUCUUGAUGAGCAUUUGAGUAUCUCUUUUACUUCUUUAUACAUUUAAACACUUCUAUUAUUUUUUGUUUUCUGGCCAAUAAUUCUAAUAUCUGAAGUCUUGGGUGGGUGUUGGAGGAGGUAAUCAAGAGGACAUGACCUCCAGUUGGCUCUCAAACUGGACACAGCAGUCAGAGGCUUUUCACCUCUCUCCCUGUGCUUGGAAUGUACACUGUCCCCCGUUCCCACAAUGGGAACCAUUUUCAAGGAUGCAGUCUUGAGAGAACAACGUGUUAUUGAGACUUUCUGGAUGGCAUGUGUGACUGACCUUCUACAUAAACUUUCAAAAUUUGGGGGGUGUCAGUGCAGAGAUCUCCUUGUCUUGCAGCUGCUCAAGAGAAGCUUCAUAUGGAAGUUCCCUGCCCUCUGUGUAUGGGGACCAGUUUCACAUUUCAUCUGGGACGCUCUUGAAGCAAUUGCAAACUAACUGUGGGGGACAGGAAUCUCUGCUGGUUGUUGUUUCUGCUGUUUCUUGUUUGUGGAAUCUUGAAAGGAUCGAGGUAUGUCCCUUCAGAAAGACAAAUAUCAUAUGAUAUCACUUAUAUGUGGAAUCUAAAAAAUAUGAUACAAAUUAACUUAUUUACAAAACAGAAAUAGACUCACAGAUUUCAAAAACAAAAUUCUGAUUACCAAAGGGGAAACAUGGUGGGGAGGGAUAACUUAGGAGUUUGGGAUUAACAUAUACACACUAGUGUAUAUAAAAUAGAUAAUCAACAAGGACCUACUGUAUAGCACAGGGAACUUUAUAUUCUGUAAUAACCUAUUGGGAAAAGAAUCUGAAAAAGAAUGGAUAUAUGUAUAUGUAUCCACUGAAUCAUUGAAUUACUUUGUGGUACACCUGGAGAUAACACAAUAUUGUAAAUCAACUAUACUCCAGUAUAAAAAAAUUUUUAAUAAUUUAAAAUUAGACUAAGAAACCUACUAGAGCAUAUCACUAAUAUAAAUCAAGAACAAAGAAACAUAGCAAAGUCUCAAGCACAAAUAUUAGGUAUAAAAACAUAAUACUUAAAGUAAAAGACCUAAUAGGUAGGCUGGAUAGCAGAAUGGAUAUGACUGAGGAACAAAUCAUUAAAUUGGAAGAUCUGAUAGAGGAAGUAUCCCUGAAGGAGAGAACAAAGACAAGGGAUUUUUUUUUUCAUUUAGAAAGACUAAUACUCAGAUAAUGGGAAUUUUAGAAAGAAGGAGAAAUAAAAUUGAAGAACUCAUGAAAAAAAACUUUCUUGGAAUUAGAAAAAAAGAUGAAGACCUCAGAUUGAAGACAUCACAGAAUGACAAAGAAGAUGAUAAGGGCAGAGCCACAUGUAGGCAAAUGGUAGUAAAAUUUAACAACAUCAAAGACAAAUUCCAAAAGCUGAUAAAGAGAAGAUUACAUACAAAGGAAUGAGUAUUAAAUUUCCAUCAGAUUUCCAACAACAACACAAUGAAAGGAAAAGAAGAAAUAUACCUGUAAUAACCCAGAAUGAAAAGUCUAGAAAAUAAUAUAAUGAGAAUUGGGAAAUAGGGGAGACAAAAGGAUAUGAGAUUAAACUAUUAUUUUUGCCUUAUGCUAUCAGUAUAUAUAUCAACAUUUCUUUUUAUAUAUAAGAAAGGAUAUAAAAGAAAUGAAAAUGGGAGACUAAAGAAAUAUGUCCAUUCUUAAUUAAUGCUUCUCUCCUUAAAGCAACAAAACACAGUGAGGUUUCCUUCCCUCUCAUUCUUCUAAGUUAGUCCUGUAAGCUUGCAAGGACAGUGAAAUGAGAAUGAAAGUGACAUGCGUCACUUCCAGACAAACACAUUUCAUUUCUGUGAGAAACUGCAAUUUCCUUUCCCCAGCCUCAGUAACUGACGAAGUCUAUGUUGAGAUGGAGUCUUGGUAAGCCUGGGAACCUGAGUGCCUAUGAUGAGCAGAGCCCUACUAUCAAAUCUUGUUAGUAGCAAAUAAACUCUGUAUGCAGCAAAUGAGGUCUUGGAAUUGAUUGUUAUGGCAUUGUAACUGAGCCUCUGCUUACUGACAAAGAUGUAUGCGUAUAUUUCUAAGACAUUUCUCACUUAUUUAUUGCUAUUCCUUAAGGGCUUAUCUGAGAAAAGAAAUUGUAAAGUCUUGCCAGAUCCUCUCCCUAGUUACCUGACUUCAGAGACUGACUGAUGGACUGUUGGGUUAUGUCUAGCAACACUUUAGAUGCCUUUCCAAAGAGUAUGUGAGUCCUCCCCGAGCUAAGGAGCGCUAAUAAACCUCUACUUUUAAUAACUAAAGUGCAAAAA